AACGCCGAACACAGCAUUCACUAUAUAUUUUUAAUCAUAUUUACUGCUGUAUGACCAUACGUUCAUAUGGCGAUAUCCGCUGGAAGGAAAAUCCAUGCUGUUUUGAUUUGAAAUGCAUCAAUUUGUUAAAAGUGGAAAAGUGCUGUUGGUCCUCAUGGAGAGCUGUGCAGGUACAGGACACAAAUUUGCUGCUGUCCGGUUAAAAUCUGCAGAUAAGGCUGCAAUGAUCCGUUUUGAUCCAUGGGUUCAGCAAAGAGUACUUUACAAAGAGAAAAAGAAGCUGAAAACAUUGUAAUAAUUUUACCUGUAUUAAAUGUCUAAAUAAACUUUUUGUAUGUUUUUUCAAUA
This is a long non-coding RNA of Octopus bimaculoides (California two-spot octopus), 348 nucleotides long. Lineage: Eukaryota; Metazoa; Mollusca; Cephalopoda; Octopoda; Octopodidae. The record is from RefSeq and is a predicted model, not a curated record.